UCUAAAAUGGCAGAUCAGUGCACAGGAUUUAAGCUCCUGAUAGGAAUUAUCAAUUCUUUUAGAA
RNAcentral lists this transfer RNA (64 nucleotides) under Crangon hakodatei. RNAcentral's name for it is "tRNA-Leu". The record is from RNAcentral. Lineage: Eukaryota; Metazoa; Arthropoda; Malacostraca; Decapoda; Crangonidae.